This 471-nucleotide ribosomal RNA is filed under the name uncultured bacterium. RNAcentral describes it as "bacterial SSU rRNA". It matches the Rfam family "Bacterial small subunit ribosomal RNA", at positions 26 to 507 of the family's 1533-position model. The record is from RNAcentral.
CGAGGACGAACGCUGGCGGCGUGCUUAACACAUGCAAGUCGAACGGUGACGAGGAGCUUGCUCCUCCGAUCAGUGGCGAACGGGUGAGUAACACGUGAGCAACCUGCCCCUCACUCUGGGAUAACAGUUGGAAACAGCUGCUAAUACCGGAUACGACACAGACAGGCAUCUGUACUGUGUGGAAAGUUUUUCGGUGAGGGAUGGGCUCGCGGCCUAUCAGUUUGUUGGUGGGGUAAUGGCCUACCAAGACGACGACGGGUAGCCGGCCUGAGAGGGCGACCGGCCACACUGGGACUGAGACACGGCCCAGACUCCUACGGGAGGCAGCAGUGGGGAAUAUUGCACAAUGGGCGAAAGCCUGAUGCAGCGACGCCGCGUGAGGGAUGACGGCCUUCGGGUUGUAAACCUCUUUCAGACAGGGAAGAAGCGAAAGUGACGGUACCUGCAGAAGAAGCACCGGCUAACUACGUG